CAUACUCCUACGGGAGGCAGCAGUAGGGAAUCUUCCACAAUGGGCGCAAGCCUGAUGGAGCAACGCCGCGUGUGUGAUGAAGGGUUUCGGCUCGUAAAGCACUGUUGUAAGAGAAGAAUGUACUUGAGAGUAACUGUUCAAGUAGUGACGGUAUCUUACCAGAAAGGGACGGCUAAAUACGUGCCAGCAGCCGCGGUAAUACGUAUGUCCCAAGCGUUAUCCGGAUUUAUUGGGCGUAAAGCGAGCGCAGACGGUUAUUUAAGUCUGAAGUGAAAGCCCUCAGCUCAACUGAGGAAUUGCUUUGGAAACUGGAUGACUUGAGUGCAGUAGAGGAAAGUGGAACUCCAUGUGUAGCGGUGAAAUGCGUAGAUAUAUGGAAGAACACCAGUGGCGAAGGCGGCUUUCUGGACUGUAACUGACGUUGAGGCUCGAAAGUGUGGGUAGCAAACAGGAUUAGAUACCCUGGUAGUCCACACCGUAAACGAUGAGUGCUAGCUGUUCGAGGGUUUCCGCCCUUGAGUGGCGUAGCUAACGCAUUAAGCACUCCGCCUGGGGAGUACGACCGCAAGGUUGAAACUCAAAGGAAUUGACGGGGACCCGCACAAGCGGUGGAGCAUGUGGUUUAAUUCGAAGCAACGCGAAGAACCUUACCAGGUCUUGACAUCCUUUGACCACUCCAGAGAUGGAGCUUUCCCUUCGGGGACAAAGUGACAGGUGGUGCAUGGUUGUCGUCAGCUCGUGUCGUGAGAUGUUGGGUUAAGUCCCGCAACGAGCGCAACCCUUAUUGUUAGUUGCCAGCAUUCAGUUGGGCACUCUAGCGAGACUGCCGGUGACAAACCGGAGGAAGGCGGGGAUGACGUCAAAUCAUCAUGCCCCUUAUGACCUGGGCUACACACGUGCUACAAUGGCAUAUACAACGAGUCGCCAACCCGCGAGGGUGCGCUAUUCUCUUAAAGUAUGUCUCAGUUCGGACUGUAGGCUGCAACUCGCCUACACGAAGUCGGAAUCGCUAGUAAUCGCGGAUCAGCACGCCGCGGUGAAUACGUUCCCGGGUCUUGUACACACCGCCCGUCACACCA
RNAcentral lists this ribosomal RNA (1079 nucleotides) under Weissella soli. RNAcentral describes it as "bacterial SSU rRNA". It matches the Rfam family "Bacterial small subunit ribosomal RNA", at positions 332 to 1404 of the family's 1533-position model. Lineage: Bacteria; Bacillati; Bacillota; Bacilli; Lactobacillales; Lactobacillaceae. The record is from RNAcentral.